Long non-coding RNA from Macrobrachium nipponense, 629 nucleotides. RefSeq lists it as uncharacterized. NCBI's taxonomy places the organism in Eukaryota, Metazoa, Arthropoda, Malacostraca, Decapoda, Palaemonidae. The record is from RefSeq and is a predicted model, not a curated record. The transcript has 2 exons.
GUGCCUCUGUCGACUGAACAGUCCUCAACCUCAGCUCUUCAAUAUGAAGGUGAUUGGCGCAAUGCUGUUGCUUCUGGUGGCUCUGUUUGCCAUCUUGGGAUCCUCUGAGGCCAUGCCGGAGCCUGAAGCUGAUCCUGGCUUCCUCGGUGGUGGAUACUAUAGGCCUUAUUACAGACCCAUCAUCAGCUAUGGUUAUGGCGGCUAUGGUGGUUACGGAGGCUAUGGAUGGUAAACGUUUUUCUUAAAUUACGACAUUGAAAGAGAUUCUUCAGAUUCUUCAAAUGUUCCUGAAGCUACUUUGUAAUUAGGCUUAACAAUAGAUUACAGAUAAAAUAUCUUCUUUAAUUUCUUCAGUAUUUAUGCAAUAGACUGAUUUUUAAAAGCACUAUGCAGCUGUUGUUAAUUUGCAUGCAUGAUAGCUUGGCCUUCAAAAUAUUUUCUGAGAGAAAACAUAUUUUCAGAAACUCUUUAUAUCAAUUCUGUGUGGGAUAUUGGACAUGUAGUAUCAACUUUAGCCGCAAAGUUUGAUUGAAUCUACCUUUGGCUGAAAUGACUGAAUUCUUGGCCAGUCUCUUAUAGCAAAGAAAGAAUGAAAGAAGAAAGUGAAGAAUAAAGAAAGAACCCAAAUA